This is a long non-coding RNA of Hypanus sabinus (Atlantic stingray), 3774 nucleotides long. RefSeq lists it as uncharacterized. The transcript has 3 exons. The record is from RefSeq and is a predicted model, not a curated record. Lineage: Eukaryota; Metazoa; Chordata; Chondrichthyes; Myliobatiformes; Dasyatidae.
AAGAGUGCUGGUGCUGGGCAUAAGGGUUCAUAGCCAUUCGCCGGACCGGUAACCCGUUGACUCCUUCGGGAAAUCGCCCGUGGCUCAUCAUCAUGCGCUCGGCCAUCGCUCUUCGCAUGGGGAGGAAAGCUCGUUCUGUCAGUGCUGUCCAGACCUUAUCCAAAGAGGAACCUUCUGGGGUUGGAGGACACAAGGUGGCAGAUGGGAUGAUCUUCAACCACAGGGAUAUAGCAAUCUGCUUUUGCCAUCCUCCUCUUCCCCAACCCUCAUUUCAAUCUCGGCCAAGCUGCACCUCUUCAACACUCCAGCAGGGGUCAGUGCUUCACAAAUAAAAGCAGGCACCCUUCCUCUCCUCUCUGUGGGUGCUGUUGGCUUGAAGCAGGCGUGACCGGACCAACCACCUUCCUCCACGGCACAGCUCACAGUUCUGUCCGUACAAAAUGAUGAGGGGUAUAAGCAGGGUAAAUGCAAGCAAACCUUUUCUAUGAAGGUUAGGUGACGUUAGAAAGGGAGGUAAUGGGUUAAGGGUGAAGGUGAGAUAUUCAAAGAGGAUCUGAAGGGGAACUUCAUCAUUCAGAGGGUAGUGAGACUGUGGAAGAAGCUGCCAGCUGUAGCAGGUUUGAUGGCAGCAUUUAAAGAAUGUUGGAUGGAAGGGGUAUGGAGAGUUAUGGUCCAGGUGUGGCUUGAUGGGACUAGGCAGAAUAACAAUUGGGCACAGAUUAAAUGGGCUGAAGGGCCAGUUUCAGUACUGUAGUGACUCUAUAAGUGGGAAGUGAGGGUGUCUCUAGUACAGCUGGCAUCUGCUGCCUCUGAGCUUGGUGAAUUACUCCCACAACAACCUCGUGUCCAAAGUCACACGUUGAAGAGCAUCAGUAAACACAAUCAAUCUUCUGAUAACUCAGCAGUUUUGCGGACAAUGUUGCCUUCUCUUUUUAAUUACUUGAACUUAAACUGCACUGGUGAAAUUCUGAACCCAUAUCCCAGGAGCCCUGGACACUAAUUGGCAACGAUUAGCACAUUAUUGUCACAUGGUUGCCUCAUCUUUGGAAGGGUGAGGAAGCUUUGGAGAGACUGCAGAGGAGAUUUUCCAGGAUACUGCCUGGAUUAGAGAACAUGUCUUAUCAGGACAGGCUGUGCAAGCUAGGCCUUUUCCCCUUGGAGUGAAGGAGGAUGAGAAGUGACUUGACAGAGGUGUAGAAGACGAUAAGAGGCACAGGUAGAGUGGUGGGUAGCUAGUGUCAUUUCCCUAGGGUGCAAGUGGAUAAAUCAGGAGAGUCUAGUUUUGAAGUGAAUGUAGGGGGGAUGUCAGAGGUAAUUUUUUGUAUACUGAAUGGUAGGUGUGUGAAGUGUUCUGGCAGAGUGCUGAAAAAGGCAGAUACAUUAGCGAUUUUUAAGAGACUCUUAGAUACUCAUGGAUGAAAGAAAAGCGGAGGGCUAUGUUGGAAGGAAGGGUUAGAUUGAUCUUAGAGUAGGUCAUAAGGUCAGGAACACAUCUGGGCUGAAGGGUCUGAACUGUGCUGUUAUGCUCUAUGUUCUAAGAUGAUAAGAAGGAUAGGCUGAGUGGGCAGCCAGAGAAUUUUCCCCAGAGUGGAAAUGGCUAAUAUGAGAGGGGAUAAUUUUAAGCUGAUUAGGGGGAGGUCAGAGGUAUGUUUUUUACACAGAGGCAGGUGCGUGGAAUGUAUUGUCAGGGAUAGUGAUAGAGGCUGAUGCAUUAGAGACAUUUAAGAGAUUCUUUGAUCGGCACAUGAUGAAAGAAAAGGAGAGUUAUGGGAGGGAAGGGUGAGAUUGAUUUUGGGGUAGGAUAAUGGGUCGGUAUAACAUUGUGAGCCAAAGGGCCUGUACCAAUCAAUGUUCUAUGUACUGAGAUACUGUGGAAAAACAUGCAAUCUAAACAGAUAAUUCCGAAACAUAAGUGCACUGGUUGGCUAAGUGGUGCCUCCAAAGACUGUGUUGGUAAAAGGCAUCAGUUUUUUACCUUAAUGAUUGUUGUGAAUUCAAUCUUUGCAAGUUUACCAUGUCCCAUCUUCUGACAUGCAAGUAAACCAUUUGGCCUAUCGAGUCUAUGUUGGCUAUCAAGGCAAACUCAUUAAUCAGAGAAAUACAGAGGAAAUUUACAAGGAUGUUGCCAGAACUUGAGACUCUGACUUGUAGGGAAAGGUUGAAAAGAUUAUGACUUUAUUUUGUAGAGCAGGGGUUUCCAGCCUGGGGUCCUUGACCCCUUGUUUAAUGGUAUUUGUCCACAGCAUUAAAAUGGUUGGGAAUCUCUGCCAUCGAGUCUAGGAGAACGGGAGGAGAUGAAAAUGAGAGGUAUACAAUAUUAUGAGGGAUAUAGAUAGCAAGCCGGAUUCCUCCCCCCACGCCCCUCUCUGGUUGGGUGAGAGCAUAACUACAGGUUUAUAGGUUAAGUGUGAAAGAUGAAAUAUUUAAGGGGAGCAUGAGGGGAAACUUCGUUACUCAGAGGGUGGUGUGAGUGUGGAACGAGCUGCCAGCAUGUGUCAUGUCCCGUCUUCAUUGUAACACUACAAGAGGUUUGGAUUAGGAAUUUAUGGAAGGGGUAUGGAGAGCCAUGGCCCAAGUGCAGGUAGAUGAGACUAGGCAGAAGACCAUGCAAGCAAGACUAGAUGGUCUGAAGGGCCUGUUUUUGAGCUGUAGUGCUAAAUUAAUUCUGUGCCUCUGGAAAGACAAGUUAAAUAGGGGCAGUCAGCAUAGUUUUGCACAUGUGAGAUCAUGUUUUGUAAACAAUAUUCUACAAUAUGGAAACAUGCUGACUCAGUUCAUGAGCUGGUCCCAUUUUCUUACCUUUAGCCCAUAUCCCCCUCAACCUUUCCUAUUCAUGUACCUGUCAAAAUAUUGCUGUAGUUGUACCUGCCUCUGCCACUUCUUCUGGCAAUUGUUCAACAGCUCCCACCAACCUCUGUAUAUAAAAAAAAAGACCCUCAAAUCCCCUGUGCCAUGUUAGUGUGAAGUUAUUGCAGCUUGGACAUUGGAGUUUGGAGUUCAAUUCUGGCGUCUCUGUAAUCCUCCUCGUGGAAAAUGUGGAUUUCCUCCCAGUGCUCUGGUUUCCUCUCACAGUCCAAAGAUGUGCCAGUUGAUUAGAGGUGGUAACAUUAACUACGAGCUAUGUCUGGAAUAUGACAAUGAAAAACAAUGAAGAGGCCCUCCAGGGUUAGAGAGGGCAUGCUGUAUAAGAACUUGGAUUGCAGAAAGGCUGGAGAAGACCUGGCAGAAGAUUAUAAAGUGACCAGAGGCCUAUCAAAGAGCCGAGAGCAGCAGCUUUCUCCUCAGGAUUGCAAACCAGAUUGAGGUGAGGGGGGAAAACUCAAAAGGCAUGCACGGGGCAAGGUUUUUUGAGAGUGGUAGGUGCCUGGAGUGUGCUGCCAGGGGUGGUGGGGUAGGCAAAUAAGAAGCAGUUACAUAGAUAUAUGAAUAUAUAGAGAGUGGAGGAUUGGAACAUGCGCAGUCAAAAGGGAUUAGGUGCAAUUAGCAUAAUUAGAUUGGAGCACUAUGGACUGAAGUACCUGUUUCUGUGCUGUACUGUGCAAUUUUCUAUGUUCUGUGUUCUUUUUCUAUGUAGAUACACACUAGUCCUCCAAGAGGACCACACCCUUGUGGUUUGGAAGCUUGCGAGCCUCAAUGACCUGGAGGGCUAUGCUGGCUGGAGUCGGGCCUUGUGCUUUGGCUCUUGGUAGGGUCACUCAUGCCAAGCAGGUCAAAGGGUAGAGGUCAGACUAGGAUUUGUCCACCAGUCCUCCAAGUUUGGGGGUUCAGCUCAGG